Molecule: small RNA, 83 nt
Filed under: Marmota monax (woodchuck)
Lineage: Eukaryota; Metazoa; Chordata; Mammalia; Rodentia; Sciuridae
Source: RNAcentral
GCUGGGUGUGGUGGUGCACGCCUGGAAUCCCAGCAGUUUGGGAGGCUGAGGCAGGAGGAUUACGAGUUCAAAGCCAGCCUCAG